GGGGUAUUUAUCUUCGGAUAGAGAGACCGGCGCACGGGUGCGUAACGCGUAUGCAAUCUACCUUUUACAGAGGGAUAGCCCAGAGAAAUUUGGAUUAAUACCUCAUAGUAUAUAGACUCGGCAUCGAGAUUAUAUUAAAGUCACAACGGUAAAAGAUGAGCAUGCGUCCCAUUAGCUAGUUGGUAAGGUAACGGCUUACCAAGGCUACGAUGGGUAGGGGUCCUGAGAGGGAGAUCCCCCACACUGGUACUGAGACACGGACCAGACUCCUACGGGAGGCAGCAGUGAGGAAUAUUGGACAAUGGGCGCAAGCCUGAUCCAGCCAUGCCGCGUGCAGGAUGACGGUCCUAUGGAUUGUAAACUGCUUUUAUACGAGAAGAAACACUACUUCGUGAAGUAGCUUGACGGUAUCGUAAGAAUAAGGAUCGGCUAACUCCGUGCCAGCAGCCGCGGUAAUACGGAGGAUCCAAGCGUUAUCCGGAAUCAUUGGGUUUAAAGGGUCCGUAGGCGGUUUAAUAAGUCAGUGGUGAAAGCCCAUCGCUCAACGGUGGAACGGCCAUUGAUACUGUUAGACUUGAAUUAUUAGGAAGUAACUAGAAUAUGUAGUGUAGCGGUGAAAUGCUUAGAGAUUACAUGGAAUACCAAUUGCGAAGGCAGGUUACUACUAAUUGAUUGACGCUGAUGG
Molecule: ribosomal RNA, 685 nt
Filed under: Flavobacterium frigidimaris
Lineage: Bacteria; Pseudomonadati; Bacteroidota; Flavobacteriia; Flavobacteriales; Flavobacteriaceae
Description: bacterial SSU rRNA
Rfam family: Bacterial small subunit ribosomal RNA
Source: RNAcentral